This 167-nucleotide non-coding RNA is filed under the name Masnerella sp. ZL-2020. The record is from RNAcentral. Lineage: Eukaryota; Metazoa; Arthropoda; Insecta; Hymenoptera; Scelionidae.
AUUUGUGGUUAAGUGCUGCGUUAUUUGUGACAACACGUUGUGCUUUAGGCACAGUUGAAACAAAUUUAUACAAAACUAACAAAACUCAUUCUCACCACAAGGUGUUUCUUCCCAGUUCUUUCAUCUUCGAACAAAAAAGAAAUUGGUCGCUCGCAGCCUUUACUUUU